GAGAAUGCCGGUGUGAGUAGCGAAAGACGGGUGAGAAUCCCGUCCACCGAUUGACUAAGGUUUCCAGAGGAAGGCUCGUCCGCUCUGGGUUAGUCGGGUCCUAAGCUGAGGCCGACAGGCGUAGGCGAUGGAUAACAGGUUGAUAUUCCUGUACCACCUAUAAUCGUUUUAAUCGAUGGGGGGACGCAGUAGGAUAGGCGAAGCGUGCGAUUGGAUUGCACGUCUAAGCAGUAAGGCUGAGUAUUAGGCAAAUCCGGUACUCGUUAAGGCUGAGCUGUGAUGGGGAGAAGACAUUGUGUCUUCGAGUCGUUGAUUUCACACUGCCGAGAAAAGCCUCUAGAUAGAAAAUAGGUGCCCGUACCGCAAACCGACACAGGUAGUCAAGAUGAGAAUUCUAAGGUGAGCGAGCGAACUCUCGUUAAGGAACUCGGCAAAAUGACCCCGU
This 445-nucleotide ribosomal RNA is filed under the name Staphylococcus aureus. RNAcentral's name for it is "partial 23S ribosomal RNA". It matches the Rfam family "Bacterial large subunit ribosomal RNA", at positions 1290 to 1731 of the family's 2925-position model. The record is from RNAcentral. Lineage: Bacteria; Bacillati; Bacillota; Bacilli; Caryophanales; Staphylococcaceae.